RNAcentral lists this unclassified non-coding RNA (194 nucleotides) under uncultured fungus. RNAcentral describes it as "sequence contains ITS1". The record is from RNAcentral. Lineage: Eukaryota; Fungi.
GUAUUAUGUUUUAUAGUUAUGACAUUCUGGACUUUUGUAGUAAGAUGUGUAAAGCGGAAGCGACGCGAACGCCGCAACCGAAAAGGUGCACAGGUGUGAGAGAUUUCGACAGCGUGCAGCCGAAGCGCACAGCUGAAGAGGUUAGGCCGAAGCCCGAAUCUUUAAUGAUCCUUCCGCAGGUUCACCUACGGAAA